RNAcentral lists this ribosomal RNA (70 nucleotides) under Bacilli bacterium PM5-3. Its description in RNAcentral is "partial 16S ribosomal RNA". It matches the Rfam family "Bacterial small subunit ribosomal RNA", at positions 1 to 70 of the family's 1533-position model. RNAcentral also lists the same sequence under 1 other name. The record is from RNAcentral. Lineage: Bacteria; Bacillati; Bacillota; Bacilli.
AACAUGAAGAGUUUGAUCCUGGCUCAGGAUGAACGCUGGCGGCAUGCCUAAUACAUGCAAGUCGAACGAA